Molecule: long non-coding RNA, 2165 nt
Filed under: Helianthus annuus (common sunflower)
Lineage: Eukaryota; Viridiplantae; Streptophyta; Magnoliopsida; Asterales; Asteraceae
Description: hypothetical non coding rna
Source: RNAcentral
AAAAGUGUGUUUCUGGUCGACAUUUUCACCAGACAAGGAAAGGUUCUUCUCUUGAACCCUAAAUUACAAAGAAAUGCUCAAAUCAAAGGGGAAAUCAAGCUAAAAAUUGGGGCUUUUUUUAAAUUCGUGAUCACCAAGUCAUGGGGAUCACAAGUUGAAGGAUACUCGUAUCUGAAGAUGGCGAGAGUGUAACAAGUGACAGACAUGACAGAGGAACGGUCCGAAGUACGACAAGUAGAGUAUGCUCAUGAAGGACCUAAAUCGCGUGAUGACCGCGAACAAGGUUAAUGACAUGGAAAGCCCAUUACGGCAAGCAUUACCAGGUGCACGCUUUUAAAUUAAAUCGCACAAAUAGUAAUAUGCAACAAACAUGUAGAGAAUGACGGUUGCAUACGUAGGAUAAAACUUGGGAAACCUGAAUAGGAUAUCUAUUCAGGAUGAUGUUUCUAAGUGAAAACAAAUAGAAACAUGUGUUAUUCACGAUUUUGAAUAACAAGACAAUAAUAGAAAUAGUUUAUGUGAAAACUUGGACGGGAAUAAAUAUCAAAGUGAAUAAUUCUCAAUAUAAUACUAUUGAAGAAAAAAAGUAGCGAUCACAUUAACGAAUUUGAUGAUAUAAUAGCUAGGUAAAAAGGAAAACAUUUUAUAUGUUCAAAGAAUAAAACGGGUAAAACUAAUAAUUGAUAAAUAACAAUUAAAUAAAGUUUUACCAACUGAAACCAAAGAUAUGGAAAUAAACAGAGACGUUACUUACAAAGGGUGUAAUGUGAAAAUUAUAAAAAAGUCAUGUGUGUCAUGUGUUUAUCGCUUACUCUGGCCAAGUAAGUAGUGAACACAUGAUGUCAUGAACUUCUUAUGAUGGACACAUUUACGUCCGAUGUAGUAAGGAUGGGGUGAAUAGGACGAAAAAAAAAGGUACCCAAAUGAAUCAAACAAAUAAGAUGUUUGAUAAUAAACGUAAACGCAAGUCGGAGGACGGAAGCGUAUUACGUUAGGACAAUGAGCCCGAGAGAAGUGACAAAGAUCAAGGUAAAUGAAAAUACAAACCGAUUGAUAGGAAUGCUAAGGUAUAGGGAUAAAAGUUUGACUGUCACAAGUGAUGAAAUUCACACGGACAAGUCAAACGAAUUAAAUAAAGAAUAAAGGACGUGAUUGAAUAAAAGCGAUGGAUUUCGCUAAGACGACUAAAUAAGUUAAAACGAAGUCUAAAAUCAUAUUAGAAUGAUUACUUUGAAAAUGACUUCGGUAAAUAUACCCGAUAGAUGAGUAUGAUUUUAAGAAUAUGCGUAAACUAAGAGACGAGAACGCGGAUUAGAAAGUCAAAAGACUCGGAUUAUGGGUCAUGACUAAAAGACGAUAAGAUUUUGCAAAUAGAAAUUUUUGAUAAUUAUGUUCAACUAUUUUAAAGUGAACGGGUCGAACAAAGAACGAAGUUUGACGUUCAUAAGUGACGAAGUUUCACUCAAACAAGUCAAACGAGAUUAAUAAAGAAUAACGCUUGAAAAUGAAAGUAAGCGCAAGCUGAAUAAUGAAAGCGCGAAAUAUUAAUGAACCUAUGUGAUAGGCCGUAAAAGAGUAUAGAAAGGAAAACGCAAACCAGUGAAACUAGAGUGUUAAAAACAUUAAGAUAAAGAACACGGGUAACGGUUCGAAAGGAAAUAGAGGCGUAAACUGAAUAACGAUAAGAGUAGGACAAACCGACGUGCAAAUGACGGAAGAAGUCAUAGAGUCGGAAGAAUAAUUCGAAAGAAAAUAAAUGUAGCCUUAGACUACGGUCAAGGUCAAAUGAAAUACAAAAGCGAAAAUAAAUUAUUCUAAACGUAAAAAGGGUACCUUUACACCCUAAAUGUAUAUAUACAGUUGAAUAAAGAUACAAAUAAAAGAGGAUCUACGGGAUCAUCAUAACCUACGGGAUUAUAAGUAGUGUUAAAGUUUAACGGGACCAAAAAGACCUUCGGGUCACAAAUAGAAAGAAACGAAUUGUAGGGGUCUCACCUUAAAACGGUAAAAAGGUGAAAAUCUAAAUAAAUAGCCUACGAGGCUAAGUGAAAGAACCUACGGGUCAUAUGGGUUAAGCGUGGGAAUUGGUUAUAAUUCCCCGCAUUAAAUAAUAACGGAAAGGAAUAGAUCAUCGGAAGUAGCAUUCCUAGGAAUAAGAGAAAGAU